This 2906-nucleotide ribosomal RNA is filed under the name Escherichia coli. RNAcentral's name for it is "23S ribosomal RNA". It matches the Rfam family "Bacterial large subunit ribosomal RNA". Lineage: Bacteria; Pseudomonadati; Pseudomonadota; Gammaproteobacteria; Enterobacterales; Enterobacteriaceae. The record is from RNAcentral.
GGUUAAGCGACUAAGCGUACACGGUGGAUGCCCUGGCAGUCAGAGGCGAUGAAGGACGUGCUAAUCUGCGAUAAGCGUCGGUAAGGUGAUAUGAACCGUUAUAACCGGCGAUUUCCGAAUGGGGAAACCCAGUGUGAUUCGUCACACUAUCAUUAACUGAAUCCAUAGGUUAAUGAGGCGAACCGGGGGAACUGAAACAUCUAAGUACCCCGAGGAAAAGAAAUCAACCGAGAUUCCCCCAGUAGCGGCGAGCGAACGGGGAGCAGCCCAGAGCCUGAAUCAGUGUGUGUGUUAGUGGAAGCGUCUGGAAAGGCGCGCGAUACAGGGUGACAGCCCCGUACACAAAAAUGCACAUGCUGUGAGCUCGAUGAGUAGGGCGGGACACGUGGUAUCCUGUCUGAAUAUGGGGGGACCAUCCUCCAAGGCUAAAUACUCCUGACUGACCGAUAGUGAACCAGUACCGUGAGGGAAAGGCGAAAAGAACCCCGGCGAGGGGAGUGAAAAAGAACCUGAAACCGUGUACGUACAAGCAGUGGGAGCACAGAGCAAUCUGUGUGACUGCGUACCUUUUGUAUAAUGGGUCAGCGACUUAUAUUCUGUAGCAAGGUUAACCGAAUAGGGGAGCCGAAGGGAAACCGAGUCUUAACUGGGCGUUAAGUUGCAGGGUAUAGACCCGAAACCCGGUGAUCUAGCCAUGGGCAGGUUGAAGGUUGGGUAACACUAACUGGAGGACCGAACCGACUAAUGUUGAAAAAUUAGCGGAUGACUUGUGGCUGGGGGUGAAAGGCCAAUCAAACCGGGAGAUAGCUGGUUCUCCCCGAAAGCUAUUUAGGUAGCGCCUCGUGAAUUCAUCUCCGGGGGUAGAGCACUGUUUCGGCAAGGGGGUCAUCCCGACUUACCAACCCGAUGCAAACUACGAAUACCGGAGAAUGUUAUCACGGGAGACACACGGCGGGUGCUAACGUCCGUCGUGAAGAGGGAAACAACCCAGACCGCCAGCUAAGGUCCCAAAGUCAUGGUUAAGUGGGAAACGAUGUGGGAAGGCCCAGACAGCCAGGAUGUUGGCUUAGAAGCAGCCAUCAUUUAAAGAAAGCGUAAUAGCUCACUGGUCGAGUCGGCCUGCGCGGAAGAUGUAACGGGGCUAAACCAUGCACCGAAGCUGCGGCAGCGACGCUUAUGCGUUGUUGGGUAGGGGAGCGUUCUGUAAGCCUGUGAAGGUGUGCUGUGAGGCAUGCUGGAGGUAUCAGAAGUGCGAAUGCUGACAUAAGUAACGAUAAAGCGGGUGAAAAGCCCGCUCGCCGGAAGACCAAGGGUUCCUGUCCAACGUUAAUCGGGGCAGGGUGAGUCGACCCCUAAGGCGAGGCCGAAAGGCGUAGUCGAUGGGAAACAGGUUAAUAUUCCUGUACUUGGUGUUACUGCGAAGGGGGGACGGAGAAGGCUAUGUUGGCCGGGCGACGGUUGUCCCGGUUUAAGCGUGUAGGCUGGUUUUCCAGGCAAAUCCGGAAAAUCAAGGCUGAGGCGUGAUGACGAGGCACUACGGUGCUGAAGCAACAAAUGCCCUGCUUCCAGGAAAAGCCUCUAAGCAUCAGGUAACAUCAAAUCGUACCCCAAACCGACACAGGUGGUCAGGUAGAGAAUACCAAGGCGCUUGAGAGAACUCGGGUGAAGGAACUAGGCAAAAUGGUGCCGUAACUUCGGGAGAAGGCACGCUGAUAUGUAGGUGAAGUCCCUCGCGGAUGGAGCUGAAAUCAGUCGAAGAUACCAGCUGGCUGCAACUGUUUAUUAAAAACACAGCACUGUGCAAACACGAAAGUGGACGUAUACGGUGUGACGCCUGCCCGGUGCCGGAAGGUUAAUUGAUGGGGUUAGCGCAAGCGAAGCUCUUGAUCGAAGCCCCGGUAAACGGCGGCCGUAACUAUAACGGUCCUAAGGUAGCGAAAUUCCUUGUCGGGUAAGUUCCGACCUGCACGAAUGGCGUAAUGAUGGCCAGGCUGUCUCCACCCGAGACUCAGUGAAAUUGAACUCGCUGUGAAGAUGCAGUGUACCCGCGGCAAGACGGAAAGACCCCGUGAACCUUUACUAUAGCUUGACACUGAACAUUGAGCCUUGAUGUGUAGGAUAGGUGGGAGGCUUUGAAGUGUGGACGCCAGUCUGCAUGGAGCCGACCUUGAAAUACCACCCUUUAAUGUUUGAUGUUCUAACGUUGACCCGUGAUCCGGGUUGCGGACAGUGUCUGGUGGGUAGUUUGACUGGGGCGGUCUCCUCCUAAAGAGUAACGGAGGAGCACGAAGGUUGGCUAAUCCUGGUCGGACAUCAGGAGGUUAGUGCAAUGGCAUAAGCCAGCUUGACUGCGAGCGUGACGGCGCGAGCAGGUGCGAAAGCAGGUCAUAGUGAUCCGGUGGUUCUGAAUGGAAGGGCCAUCGCUCAACGGAUAAAAGGUACUCCGGGGAUAACAGGCUGAUACCGCCCAAGAGUUCAUAUCGACGGCGGUGUUUGGCACCUCGAUGUCGGCUCAUCACAUCCUGGGGCUGAAGUAGGUCCCAAGGGUAUGGCUGUUCGCCAUUUAAAGUGGUACGCGAGCUGGGUUUAGAACGUCGUGAGACAGUUCGGUCCCUAUCUGCCGUGGGCGCUGGAGAACUGAGGGGGGCUGCUCCUAGUACGAGAGGACCGGAGUGGACGCAUCACUGGUGUUCGGGUUGUCAUGCCAAUGGCACUGCCCGGUAGCUAAAUGCGGAAGAGAUAAGUGCUGAAAGCAUCUAAGCACGAAACUUGCCCCGAGAUGAGUUCUCCCUGACCCUUUAAGGGUCCUGAAGGAACGUUGAAGACGACGACGUUGAUAGGCCGGGUGUGUAAGCGCAGCGAUGCGUUGAGCUAACCGGUACUAAUGAACCGUGAGGCUUAACCUU